Molecule: ribosomal RNA, 716 nt
Filed under: uncultured bacterium
Lineage: Bacteria
Description: bacterial SSU rRNA
Rfam family: Bacterial small subunit ribosomal RNA
Source: RNAcentral
GGUACAACCCUCCGAAAGGGGGGCUGAUACCGCGUACAUCCCCUGGGGGCAUCCCCGGGGGAGGAAAGCCCUUUUGGGCGGGCGGGGAUGGGCAUGCGGCGCAUUAGGAAGACGGCGGUGUGACGGACCACCGUUCCGACGAUGCGUAGGGGUUCUGAGAGGAAGGCCCCCCACACUGGUACUGAGACACGGACCAGACUCCUACGGGAGGCAGCAGUGAGGAAUAUUGGUCAAUGGCCGGAAGGCUGAACCAGCCAAGCCGCGUGAGGGAGGAAGGCGCAGAGCGUCGCAGACCUCUUUUGCCGGGGGACAAAAGGCCGGACUCGUCCGGUCCUGAGGGUACCCGGAGAAAAAGCAUCGGCUAACUCCGUGCCAGCAGCCGCGGUAAUACGGAGGAUGCGAGCGUUAUCCGGAUUCAUUGGGUUUAAAGGGUGCGCAGGCGGGCCUUUAAGCCGGCGGUGAAAUCGCGGGGCUCAACCCCGCCGAGCCGUCGGAACUGGGGGCCUUGAGUGCGGCGGAGGCAUGCGGAAUGCGCGGUGUAGCGGUGAAAUGCAUAGAUAUCGCGCAGAACCCCGAUUGCGAAGGCAGCGUGCCGUGCCGCCACUGACGCUGAGGCACGAAAGCGCGGGGAUCGAACAGGAUUAGAUACCCUGGUAGUCCGCGCCGUAAACGAUGGAUGCUGGGUGUCCGGGGCGUUCAGGCCCUGGGUGCCGGAG